GACAACUGACAAGAGAAUGUGUGAACCAGAGAGAAAAAAUGGUUUGAGCACAGAGCAGCGUGUACUUUGUAGUUCUGAAUUUCAAAUUCAAAAUUGAAAUAAUUUAGAUUGUUACUCCAAUCAACAAUUUACGUCUACGUAGGAAAAACAAAAUGUGGAUAAUGGAUAUUGCAAUCGAUUUUGAAAACUUGUAUUAUUCUUCUGUUAUGAAGCCCUGCCCUACUACCUCAAUUGCUCAAAGGGUUGACCUUCCAGUUUUGCUUGAACUUUGUAGCCUCUUAUUCCAUAUGGCAGACUGCUGGUUUUUUGUAUAAAACCAUGAAGCAAAUUGAAGAUUGGAAAUUUACAAUGAUUCGAACUACCUGCUGGGAAUGCCAGUCAACAAAAGAAACAGAAAACAAUUUCACUAAUCAAAUUCCUAUUUAAAUAGUAAGAAGUUUAAGGAGGAUAACAGACUGCAUAGAAAAAUAGAAAAUAAGCAAGAAAAAUUGUUUUACAAUGCAAAUUAUUUGUCAAACGGCAACAUUGCUUGCCAAAGUUCUCUUUUCAAGUCCAGCAAGCACAAGAUCUAAAAAUGGCUGUGCUGUGAAGUCUCACAGAAACUAUUUGCAAAUUUGGAUUGCAGUAUGGAUGUAAUUAAAAUGAAAGAUACAUAUUCCAACAUAUUUAUUUGUUUGGAGACAGCAGUUGAGUGAUAUAAUUUCUUCACAAGGAAUAUACUGCCCGCUCACACAUCUAUAAGCUGAUUCCAUGGUAUGCCCACAACUAUUUGCAGGGGUGAGACACAAUUAAACUCUCAUUUGUCAUCACUCAUCAACAAGUAGUAAGUGUUGACUGUUGAAUGUUCAAUUCCAUUUCCCUGAAUCGAUAGUAAAGUAUGUUGGUUAUUUUU
Long non-coding RNA from Daphnia pulicaria, 892 nucleotides. RefSeq lists it as uncharacterized. Lineage: Eukaryota; Metazoa; Arthropoda; Branchiopoda; Diplostraca; Daphniidae. The record is from RefSeq and is a predicted model, not a curated record. The transcript has 6 exons.